CUCUCUCUCUCUCUCUCUCUCUCUCGAUCACUCUCUCGACCCUCCUCUGUGUUCUUGAAACCCUUCUUGUUCUUUAUUUGGUUGGUCGGGUUUGGGUUGUAAUUGGAAGCGGGGCGCCGUUGAGAACUUGAGAUUUUCUUGAUUUCUUGUAUUCGUUUGUUUUGUUUUGUUUUGGUGGGAUUGAAAUCUCGAGGUUUCUAACGAGAAAUUUUGAUGGAGAACUGCUUUAAUGGGAGAUCGAUAUGGAAGAUCGGGAAUUUGAAUUUGAUUGUUAUGGAGUCGGUACGUUGCGGUUAGUUUCGUGUUUUGGAUUUGGGAUCUGAACCCGGACAGAGGUUAUUUGUAGGGUUUUGGUGACCAAGCUGUGCCGUUGCUCGGAAACUUGAUUGCCACUCUGACUUAGUUGUGAAGCAUUCAAGGACUUCCAUUGCAUCAAUAGGCUGCGACAACUGAAAGAUUGCAGAGAACGUGAGGGACCUAAGCAUCCAACAAGGGAUGAGUUUCUGAUGUCAAUUGUCCAGUGAAAGAAUCAAUGGAGGCACAGAGCCCUUAGUGAUUCUUGAAGGGAAGUCCAAUUGGAUAUGUUUAAUGGUUCUACGAGACAAAUAGAGAUUCACUGCAAGAGACACAAGGCUCAUAGCUUGUCGGGGAUACUGUUGAUGAGACUUACCCGAAAUUGAGCUUGACUGACUUGUCCAAACCAAAGUUUACCCCAUUACAACUCAAAUUCUGAAGCAUGAGUACAUACAAUGGGGUCUCUUCUAGAAAUAACUGAACCUAACAAGGACAUUUACCUUUAUCUGAUUUUAAACCUUUCUCCUUUUGGAACAAGACAUGGUUUUGAUCAAGAUUUUAAGUUCUGGUGGGAUGAGGGGCAUUCCAGGCCGUCCCAUCUUAUUUCUAUGAGAAAAUGGGACUGGGACGGUGUCGGGACUCCGAAAC
Molecule: non-coding RNA, 942 nt
Organism: Phoenix dactylifera (date palm)
Lineage: Eukaryota; Viridiplantae; Streptophyta; Magnoliopsida; Arecales; Arecaceae
Source: RefSeq, a predicted model, not a curated record